RNAcentral lists this ribosomal RNA (471 nucleotides) under uncultured bacterium. Its description in RNAcentral is "bacterial SSU rRNA". It matches the Rfam family "Bacterial small subunit ribosomal RNA", at positions 355 to 825 of the family's 1533-position model. The record is from RNAcentral.
UCGAGGAUCUUCCGCAAUGGGGGCAACCCUGACGGAGCGACGCCGCGUGGAGGAUGAAGGUCUUCGGAUUGUAAACUCCUGUUGCUCGGGACGAAAUGCCUCGACCUAAUACGUCGAAGUUUGACGGUACCGAGUGAGGAAGCCCCGGCUAACUCUGUGCCAGCAGCCGCGGUAAUACCGAGGGGGCAAGCGUUGUUCGGAAUUACUGGGCGUAAAGGGCGCGUAGGCGGCCUGUUAAGUCGAACGUGAAAUCCCUGGGCUCAACCCAGGAACUGCGUCCGAUACUGGCAGGCUUGAAUCCGGGAGAGGGAUGCGGAAUUCCAGGUGUAGCGGUGAAAUGCGUAGAUAUCUGGAGGAACACCGGUGGCGAAGGCGGCAUCCUGGACCGGUAUUGACGCUGAGGCGCGAAAGCCAGGGGAGCAAACGGGAUUAGAUACCCCCGUAGUCCCUGAGCGGGCUGGCAAGGCGCAU